UACGAAGGGGGCGAGCGUUGUUCGGAUUUACUGGGCGUAAAGGGCGCGCAGGCGGCUCAUUUUGUCAGGCGUGAAAGCCCCGGGCUUAACCUGGGAGGUGCGUUUGAUACGGAUGGGCUAGAGUUCGGGAGAGGAGGGUGGAAUUCCCAGUGUAGAGGUGAAAUUCGUAGAUAUUGGGAAGAACACCGGUGGCGAAGGCGGCUCUCUGGACCGAGACUGACGCUGAGGCGCGAAAGCGUGGGGAGCAAACAGG
Molecule: ribosomal RNA, 253 nt
Filed under: uncultured bacterium
Lineage: Bacteria
Description: partial 16S ribosomal RNA
Rfam family: Bacterial small subunit ribosomal RNA
Source: RNAcentral